CCUACGGGAGGCAGCAGUGGGGAAUAUUGGGCAAUGGGCGCAAGCCUGACCCAGCAACGCCGCGUGAAGGAAGCAGGCCCUCGGGUUGUAAACUUCUUUUGUCAGGGCCGAAGAAAGUGGCGGUCCCUGACGAAUAAGCCACGGCUAACUACGUGCCAGCAGCCGCGGUAAUACGGAGGGGGCAAGCGUUGUCCGGAUUUACUGGUGGUAAAGGGCGUGUAGGCGGGUCUGCAAGUCAGAUGUGAAAUUCCAGGGCUCAACCCUGGAACUGCAUGUGAAACUGUAGUUCUUGAAGGAUGGAGAGGCAGGCGGAAUUCCGUGUGUAGCGGUGAAAUGCGUAGAUAUACGGAGGAACACCAGUGGCGAAGGCGGCCUGCUGGACAUUAACUGACGCUGAGGCGCGAAAGCGUGGGGAGCAAACGGGAUUAGAUACCCGGGUAGUC
Molecule: ribosomal RNA, 443 nt
Filed under: uncultured bacterium
Lineage: Bacteria
Description: partial 16S ribosomal RNA
Rfam family: Bacterial small subunit ribosomal RNA
Source: RNAcentral